AAUGGCUGCAGUAAUAUAACUGUACAAAGGUAGCAUAAUCAUUAGUUUUUUAAUUAAAAGCUUGUAUGAAAGGUUGGACGAGGUAAAAUCUGUCUCUUUUUAAUAUAAUUAGAAUUUAAUUUUUAAGUAAAAAAGCUUAAAUUUAUAUAAAAGACGAGAAGACCCUAUAGAGUUUAAUAAUUUAUUUUAAAUAAUUAAUUUAGAUUUAUUUAUUUUAUUUAUUAUAUAAUUAUUUUAUUGGGGUAAUAAAAAGAUAAAUAUAAUUCUUUUUUUUUAUUUUACAUUAAUAUAUGAAUUAAUGAUCCAUUUUUAUGAUUAAAAGAUUAAAUUACCUUAGGGAUAACAGCGUAAUUUUUUUAAAGAGUUCAUAUCGAUAAAAAAGUUUGCGACCUCGAUGUUGGAUUAAAGAUUAGUUUAGGUGUAGAAGUUUAAAUUUUUGGUCUGUUCGACCAUUAAAUCUUUACAUGAUCUGAGUUCAAACCGGUGUAAGCCAGGUUGGUUUCUAUCUUUAUAAAAUUUUUAUAUUUUAGUACGAAAGGACCAAAUAUUUAAUAUAUUAAUAUUUAAUAUUUUGAAUAU
Molecule: ribosomal RNA, 579 nt
Filed under: Duvalius brujasi
Lineage: Eukaryota; Metazoa; Arthropoda; Insecta; Coleoptera; Carabidae
Description: partial 16S ribosomal RNA
Rfam family: Bacterial large subunit ribosomal RNA
Source: RNAcentral